UUAGGGUGACUAUAGCUGCAGGGCUCACCUCUUCCCAUUCCGAACAGAGAAGUUAAGCCUGCCUGCGCCGAUGGUACUGUUACUUACGGGAGAGUAGGUCGUCGCCAGUUU
RNAcentral lists this ribosomal RNA (111 nucleotides) under Empedobacter brevis. The record is from RNAcentral. Lineage: Bacteria; Pseudomonadati; Bacteroidota; Flavobacteriia; Flavobacteriales; Weeksellaceae.